Cyprinus carpio (common carp) is the source of this 1101-nucleotide long non-coding RNA. RefSeq lists it as uncharacterized. The record is from RefSeq and is a predicted model, not a curated record. The transcript has 2 exons. NCBI's taxonomy places the organism in Eukaryota, Metazoa, Chordata, Actinopteri, Cypriniformes, Cyprinidae.
AGUGGAGACUUCUGCAGAAAAGGUCACUUACACUGAGCUGGCAUUCAACAGAACAAACACAGAGGAGUCGGAAGUUAAAGAGGACAGUCAUGUGGAUUAUGCACCAAUAACGAUGAGGUGAUCAGACGUCAAUGUUGUUCUUAGAACAAGUAGCUUGUGAUCAUUUUCACUAGAAACCUCCAGAAAUGACCACAGAUUCUGAGUCAACGGUUAGGCUUUGAGAUCACCACAUUGCAUCUGGUCUCCUAAAACUUCAAAAGACUCAACCUUGAAAUACAAUGAGCUUUAAUGAAUUAUGUAACUCUUACAGCCCAAAGAAGCAUUUUCAUUGUUCACUCUUAAAGUUAAAUGUGCAAACUGUAGAUGCAAACUAUACUCAUCAAAAGAAAUGGAGACCCCGUUGUGGUAUCGAUUAUUUACAUCUCUAUAGAAAAUGUGGUUUGAUCUGCUGAUAGACAAACAGCUUGUGCAUGAGAAUGUUUGAUGUCUGUUCGUGAGUGUAUAUGAGGUGUGAGAAGUGCAUCUGUGUCAAUAGCUUGUGGUUGAAGGGCUUUUUUCCAUUCUUGCUUACCUGAAAGCAUCGACUUCUGCUCUAAAGAGAAACCACUUUACUAUAUAAUACUGAACUCAUCAAUUCUGCUGUUUGACAAAAUGGUUUCAAAACAAGCAGUGGUAUCACUGUUCAUAUUAGUACAUGAAAAUAUCACAUGCACAAAUGCAUCAUGAUCUUAUAUAAUCAUGCAGUGAUCCUGCAACUAAGUAGUGCUAGUUUCAGAAGUUAUUUCCAGCUCAACACUUCUUUCUAAGCAGAACUAUUCUUAUAAAUGUCAUAUCCUGUUUUUUUUUUUUUCUUCUUCUGCCAGUGUCUGGGUCUUUUAAGGAAAUCACGCAAUGCAUGAUUUACAAUGUAUAAUUUAUGUUUGAUGUAUUUGGUUUUCAUCGGUUUUGAGGAGAAACUAACUAAACAAUGCUAACCAGCUUGAUUCAAGGUUGACCACCUUUUAGCAUGGCAGGGCUCCUGUGUAAACACUAAAUAUGAAACAGUUCCUGUGUUGUUUGUGAGUACAGUUAACAAGGAAUAAAUAAAUAUUUUAAAAUGUG